CUAAGUGAUGCAGCAGCAGGCUGGUGUAGCUCCGGGCUCCAGGAGGGGGACAGGGAGUGCACGGCUGCCACACGCCCGCUUCUCUCCACCGCAGCUCGUGCAGCCGUGCCAGUGUCAGGCGGCGCAAGAAUCAAACUUUUCUGUACAUUUUCACGUCACCUGGACGCGAAACAUAAAUCUGGCAUCCUAUGCAAAUAUAUGCUGACGUAAAAGAUCAUGUGGUUUUUGUCGUCGAUCCCCCCUAUGAGCAACGAGGAGGCUUUUUUUUCUCCUCUCUACUGUUGUCUUUAGGUUAGCUAUGCUACAAUCUUUACUGUACCCAGCGCUAGCUAUAUGCGCCCCGCACCGCACCACUCUGGAUAUCUGGGAAUAAUCAACUUCCAGCCUGUCGCACCCUGCAACCGGAGACCGCACACAGAUCCUGUGGGAGAUUACCCAGAGUGCCGCCGGCCCGAGGAUCAUCCAGAGAAGGAGGGAGGUAGAGGAGGACGGACAGCGUUUAGGAGGAGGAGGAGGAGCCUCGAGCGAGAAGACUCAGCCCCCUGCAGUGAAGCCCCUCCCCCUCAGAGGAAGUAAACUCCGCAGGCUCGACCUUGAGAUACUGAGCGAUACAAGAGUUUGGCCAACUCCGUGCACACCGCCGGCGCGAGGUAGAGAGCGGCGCUCCAAUCAUCCAGCCAAUCACCCGAAACCUAAAACUCUCUCAAGGUUCUCUGCCAAUGAAAAGUCAGCUUUGUUCUCAUCAGCACAUCGAAUUGCCUCACAAGAUCCAUGAGUCAUUAAGGUGCUCUCCACUUCAGAGUUAUCCAGUGCCGUUUGGCCGUGGUCUGCGGUUUCCAGCAUGGGGCGCUGGGGCCCACUAAGGGACCUUGUAGAGGGUCCUUGGCAAAAUGAAAUGUGCUGCUGCUUGUUGCUGCUUUUCUGCAGCUGCCAGGUAGCAGAAUUUUUAAUACUUAGUCGCUGCUUUUACUCCAUUGGCAUGUGGUUGUCAUGUUUAAAUCUACAGCAACCUCAUGAUCAGAUUAUAUUGCAACUGGUGUUUGUCAUUUUGUAUUAAAG
Amphiprion ocellaris (clown anemonefish) is the source of this 1059-nucleotide long non-coding RNA. The record is from Ensembl. NCBI's taxonomy places the organism in Eukaryota, Metazoa, Chordata, Actinopteri, Pomacentridae.